UACGUAGGUGGCAAGCGUUGUCCGGAUUUACUGGGCGUAAAGGGCGUGCAGGCGGUUUUUUAAGUCUAGGGUGAAAGCUCCCGGCUCAACUGGGAGAGGUCCUUGGAUACUGGAGAACUUGAGGGAUGCAGAGGAAAGUGGAAUUCCCGGUGUAGUGGUGAUAUGCGUAGAUAUCGGGAGGAACACCAGUGGCGAAGGCGGCUUUCUGGGCAUUUCCUGACGCUGAGACGCGAAAGCGUGGGGAGCGAACCGG
This 253-nucleotide ribosomal RNA is filed under the name uncultured bacterium. Its description in RNAcentral is "partial 16S ribosomal RNA". It matches the Rfam family "Bacterial small subunit ribosomal RNA", at positions 524 to 776 of the family's 1533-position model. The record is from RNAcentral.